This is an RNA transcript of Athalia rosae (coleseed sawfly), 3573 nucleotides long. It is a transcript of the gene named juvenile hormone epoxide hydrolase 1-like, with no coding region annotated. The record is from RefSeq and is a predicted model, not a curated record. The transcript is spliced from 11 exons. Lineage: Eukaryota; Metazoa; Arthropoda; Insecta; Hymenoptera; Athaliidae.
CAAAAAAUAGUUGACGAGACAUAAUUGGGAAAAGUGUUGAUCGGAGUGACGCUGCAGUAGAGGUGGUCAUGAUGUGUUUAUAAAUAGUCCCGACGGUUACAUAACGAGCAGAUAUCAUUCCAUAAGACGAUAUUCAAAGCUUGUAUUCCAUAUGUGGAGAGGGGGAUUACUGCAAUCUGUUCCCUAGAUACAUGCAUAAAAGUGUAAUUGAGUGAAGCUACACAUACGUGCCCAUACCGAUAAGUAUUACCACUUCGGAAUAGUCGGCUGAAGUCCAAGUCCGUCAUAUAGUAGAACAAGAACAAUCAUUGACUCAGUUGAUCAGUUUUAUCCCUAGGGAAUAGAUUGUCCAUAAACUUCCCUCCACAAAAUGUGGAUUAAACUCCUCUUCGGACUCCUAUUGGCCUAUGGGGUGGCAAAAUAUUUCUGUAGUAACUGUGGCCAAGAACUCAAAGCACCAGUCGUUCCAAACGACCAAUGGUGGGGACCUGGACAACCGCGAAAAGUUGACGAGAGCAUCCGCCCAUUUAAAAUCAACGUACCAAAAGAGGUGAUAGACGACCUGAAAUCCCGACUGGAAAAGACAAGAACCCUCGUCAAACCGUUGGAAGGUGCCGCAUGGACUUACGGCAUAGGCACCGAUUACCUGCAGACCGUUCUCGACUAUUGGAGAACAAAAUAUGACUGGAACAAGCGGCAGUCCCUCCUCAAUCGGUACCCGCAAUUCAAAACAAACAUCCAAGGUCUGGACAUCCACUUCUAUCACGUCAAACCAACGAUUCCGAAGGAUCGAUCGGUCAGGGUUCUUCCCAUGCUGGUGGUCCAUGGAUGGCCCGGGUCCAUCGUUGAAUUCCAGAAGAUCAUCCCUCUCCUGACCACCCCGAGACCGGAUCGCGAUUUUGUCUUUGAACUGAUCAUCCCGUCUCUUCCGGGAUACGGUUUCUCCGAUGCUGCGGUGCGUCCUGGGCUCGGUAACACGCAGAUGUCGGUGAUACUGAAAAACUUAAUGGACAGAGUUGGGUUUAAAAAAUUCUACACGCAAGGCGGUGAUUGGGGUAGCAUGAUAACCGCCAACUUAGGAGUGCUCUAUCCUUCAAGCGUUGAAGGACUACAUCUCAUAUGCCUGGAUCCGUCGCCUUGGAGUCAAGUGUGGGUCUGGUUAGGAUCCUACUUUCCAUCUUUGAUCGUCGAGGAGAAAUAUGCUUCCAGAAUUUACCCGUUGAGCCACCACUGGUCACGGAUACUCGAAGAGUCCGGUUAUCUUCACAUCCAGGCGACAAAGCCAGACACCGUUGGUGUCGGUCUGACCGAUUCACCAGCCGGUCUCGCUGCUUACAUUCUUGAAAAAUUCAGCACCUGGACGAAUCCCGAGUACAGAUUCAGCCAGGAUGGUAAAUUGCUGGAGAAAUUUACGCUCGAUGAACUUCUGGAUAACGUGAUGGUCUAUUGGAUUACAAAUUCCAUCACAACAAGUGCUCGUCUGUACGCCGAGAAUUACACCACUGCGCACCGAGCAUUGAAGACCGACCUAGUUCCAAUUCACACGCCCGUAGCCUGUGCGGCGUUCCCCCACGAGCUCAUUUACAUGCCGGAGUGGAUUCUCAAGUCUAAGUACCGCAAUUUGAUUCAAAUGAAUCACCUUUCUCGUGGUGGUCACUUCGCAGCAUUCGAAGAACCGCAGCUUCUAGCCGACGAUGUUUGGACAUUUGUCGGUGUAGUUGAACGGAACAAGAAGGCAGCAAAAGUUGCCGAAUCAUCCGAACUAUAAUAAUUAUUAACAGGUAUUGCUUCUCGGAGAUAAACUUGCUUGAGGACCAACGAAACCUGAAAAUUAUCAAUAAUUCCGAGCAGAAAAAGGAAAAAUGAGAACGUCAUCAGAAGUUAUUCAAACUUGUAUCGCGUUCGUUUUUAUCCUUCUCACUCCGGCCGCAGAGGCGCGGUCGACGCACGACGUUUGAAUCGGAAUCCUAAGACUUAUAAGAACCUUCCAUGGAAAACUUUCAAUCCGUAGUAGGAUUGACCGAAGAUUCUUCAGUCAAUGGUGUAGUGUCAGCACCACCACAGAGUUUGUACAACACACGAUAUCUCUACUGUGUACCGGCUUUCCACGCCAUCGAGGUCGAACGAGUUUCGUCGGUUUUCUCUUCUUUUUUCAUAGUUGCGCGCGACGGCCCGCGAGGCACUAUGUGACAGUUGCGUUCUUUGUAUUAAUUUCAAAAAACAAUUACAAAAACUCUUCGAACAAUUGCAAAGUGAAAGCGAUUAUCUUUUUCCAACAGUGUUCGCUUUCUGUGCCACCAAAACUGGUAGAAUGGUAAUUUGAUGAAAAUUCAUUUCGACGAUUCAAAUAUACAAAACAUCAUCGCAUCGGGACGCGCACGUGUCUUCUCACAAACUCAGCGCGGUCAUCCGCAAUUGUUUUGUGUACGGAAUCGCGACAUAGUACGUGACAUUGCAUUGUAGUAUAGCGCAUAGCUGCGCUGAUCUUGUAAUUCUAAUUAUGUUGAAAUGAUUAUAUUGCAAUAGAUAUAAUUAUGUAUCUUUUACAAGUGUAAAUUUAUAAUGACAUAACGCGAGAGUAUAAAUAAAUUAUGAAGGAUACGAUCACAACGUUCGCCAAUGUUUACAGCUGGAACAUCGAUGAAAUAACGGGUAUACCUCGAAAAGCUGAGCGCCAAAAAAAAAUGAAUCAACAUUCAAUCCUCAAAUCACUUCAUUCAUUCAUGUAUGAGUAUACAUAUACGAUCAUGAUUACCUCGUCAUUUAUGAAUCAAGGUGUGUAUGUAUGUAAUCUUUGUGGAACAGACGUCAUACUUGUUUCCCAGAUUCAUGUAUGGAAGUGUAGAUGUGUAAAGCUACACAUACGUACCUAUUCCGAUAAGUAUUACCACUUCAGAAUAGUCGGCUGGAGUCGAAGUCCAUCAUAUAGAAAGGGAAUAAUCUUCGGCUCAGUUGUUCGGUUUGAUUCACAAGGAAUAGAUUACCCAUAAACUUCCUUCCGUAAUAUGUGGAUUAAACUUCUCUUCGGACUUCUAUUGGCCUAUGGGGUGGCAAAAUAUUUCUGGGCGUGACAAAAUGCUCGACCAUUACUCCACGGGGUGCUGCUCUCGUUUGGAGUCGGUGUGGAUCUAAAUGAAAACAUGUCACCUCGAAUAUACAUUGACCUUGUUGAAUCUUCGGGACGAAUUGUUUUUCUUUUUCUCAACAUAUCUAUUCCGAAUCAGGAGGAACAAAAGUCUUGGAAGUGCGAUGGGUCGGAUAUUUUUCCUUUGUAUCCAAAAUGAAAUCGUGGAGUCAACAAAAACAAUUAAAUAAAGCUUUAUUCCCUACCCACGGUCGAUUUUCGCGACUGCAAGUUUUGGUAAAUCUUCGCUAGCAAUUGAAUUACCACCAGAGAUGAAAUUGUCUGCUGAAGUGGGGGUAAUCUGUUUGAAUCAUUGAUACUAUUCUCAGUUGUAACUGUGGCCAAGAAGUCAAAGCACCAGUCGUUCCAAACGACCAAUGGUGGGGACCUGGACAACCGCGAAAAGUUGACGAGAGCAUCCGCCCGUUCAAAAUCGACGUACCAAAAGA